Molecule: ribosomal RNA, 665 nt
Filed under: uncultured fungus
Lineage: Eukaryota; Fungi
Description: eukaryotic LSU rRNA
Rfam family: Eukaryotic large subunit ribosomal RNA
Source: RNAcentral
CCCGCUGAACUUAAGCAUAUCAAUAAGCGGAGGAAAAGAAACUAACAAGGAUUCCCCUAGUAACUGCGAGUGAAGAGGGAAGAGCUCAAAUUUAAAAUCUGGCAGUGUUUUGCUGUCCGAGUUGUAAUCUAGAGAAGUGCUGCCCGUGCUGGACCAUGUACAAGUCUCCUGGAAUGGAAUCUCACAGAGGGAGAGAAUCCCGUCUUUGACAUGCACUGCCAGUGCAUUUGUGGUGUGCUCUCAUAGAGUCGAGUUGUUUGGGAAUGCAGCUCUAAAUGGGUGGUAAACUCCAUCUAAAGCUAAAUAUUGGCGAGAGACCGAUAGCGAACAAGUACCGUGAGGGAAAGAUGAAAAGAACUUUGGAAAGAGAGUUAAACAGUAUGUGAAAUUGUUGAAAGGCAAACGCUUAAAGUCAGUCGUGUCGGCCAGGGAUCAACUCAGUAUUAUCUGCUGGGUGUACUUCCUGAUCUGAUGCGCCAUACAUCAGUUUUGACUGCUGGAGAAGGAUAGGGGGAAUGUGGCACCUUCGGGUGUGUUAUAGCUCUCUGUCGCAUGCAGUGGUUGGCACUGAUGAAAGCAGCAAGCCACACGGCCUGGUCGAUUCGACCACGAUCAUGCUGACGAUGUUGUCAUAAUGGCUUAUAUCGACCCGUCUUGCAACACGC